UGCCUUCUUAAAAUAUUACUCCGAAUGUCAAGUUGAACACAUUAAAAUAGUUAAACAAAGGAUUGAGAUUAUCUGUGAAUCACCAUAAUGGACACAGACACACAGUACAGUAAAAACAAGCAAACCAAAAAUCUGCAACCGUUUUCCCACAAACAGUAAAUCACAUUGCAUCUUUCUUUCUUAAGCUGUAGAGGUGAAGUUGAAAUUUGCACAAGUAGUUUUCCCGAACAGCAAUGAAGAGCUGAACCCAAGUCUUGAACUUGCAAGAUCAAAUUGCAGUAGGUUAUCUUCCAACUGAUGCCCUCCAAUGACUAUAGAAGUCCUGGGAUUAACCCCGCCAUCUACAAAACCAAGGCAAAUAACAUCUUUCUUCACUUGCACCAUAGAGUUGGCACCAAAUAUUCUCCAAACCACACUGCUGCUCUGCAACACCAGAUCGAUCGGAGGCACAGCAGGACCAACUCUAGUGCUUCCAAUCGCAGUCGAGUCGAAACACAAAUCGAACGGUGCAACUGCUGCAACUCUAGGGACUUUAGAAAGCUGUCUAGCAAAAGCAUUAGUGAGAGCUUUGUGAAUGGAAGUCUCGAGUACGGUGUAAGGUUGAACAGUGCUGAUCUUUGUCCCACCAUUCCCUUCGUUGUCGAUUUUUAGCAAUGUUGCAUUCAAUGGGACGGUAUAAUCUCCGUUGAUCUUGAUUGACUUAACUCCAAUGAAAUAGUCAGAGGAAGCAUCACCCUCAAAAGAACCAGAAGCUGUGCUCACCUUGUUCAGAAUCAAGGGGGUGUACAUAAGUGACUUUGAGACAUCCAUUUUUGGCAUAAGGACAUAAGGGCCAUCUCCGAAAAAGACAACUCCUUUCGAAUUUACCGACGAGCUCAAACAAAUAGCAAACUUCCUGUGAAAACUGAAAGUAGCAGAGAAUUGGGAUGGGAUUGAGAUUUUAGUCCUCCCAAGUCCAGCCAUACCUUUAACACCCUUAGCAAGUCCCUCUAGUAAGAAUGUGGCACCACAAGUAAAGAGCAAGUUUGGAACUUUGGCAAGUCGUCCGGGAUUGGAUCCAUCAGUUGAUUGAAUGGACACAACAUCCUGGCCGAACUCUCCAGAGGUACCGGUCCGGGUCACUGUGUUUUCAGGCAUAAGGGCACAUGUAUUGUUACUGCACCCUGGUUUGAGACUUGAGUAGCAUUCAGUGAUGCAGCUCUGUGAGUUUGCGAGAUUGCACAGAGCCGAUCUGCAACGAUUAGGCUUGUAGGAUGAAGAGACAUAGGCUUGUUCACAGUCAACCCACAUGUACUGCCCGCCAAGGUCAACAGAUAGCUUGACUGGGACAAGAGGGGUUCUUUGGUUGAUUUGGGCAAUGUAUUGGAGAGUUGAUGGGUCUUUAGAAACUGGAAGGACAAGUGCUUUAGGCCUGAAUGAUGAUUUUGCUUCAGAUGUUGUGAUGGAGAAGAGAAGACAUGAAAAAAGAAGGAAGAUGCAGCUACAAGGAAGAGCCAUUGUUUGGUUUGGUUGCUUUUGGUGAUGUGCAAAGAUGAGUUUGUGAGUAAUCAUAAUGCCUAUUCAGUCUGUGUUAUUUAUAUUGGUUUCUUUCUGUAUGAAGACGCGGCCAUGUUACAGACAGACAGCUAUGAAGGAAUUGUUAUAUCCAAGUGUGAUUAAACAUUGACCAAGACGAGUCUAUCUUAACAUAAAAAUAUGCCAUCUUUAUUCAAAUUGGUCAUGUCUGUAGACUAUAAUUCAACAUACUUUGGUUGUUCUUUAUAAUAUAAAAAACAUACUCUGGUUGUUAAAUCAUGGAAUGAAGUGGCAAAUGGCAAAAAAGCAUCGAAUUAUUCAGUAUAAAGAAAUGAAAACGAAUCUUCCAUUAAUUAUUCAGCACCAAGCAACGGGAAGCUCGUCUAUUUCCUUUAUUUGAUCUGGGUUGGCUUAAAUCUAUUAUUUCGGAAUAAAAUUUGGCUACAAAAGAAAAUCGAAUUUCUUCAACAGUUGUGCAUUCAAGAUAACAAUCAAAGUUACAAAUUGAUGAAACCAUAAAGCUGUGUACCUGUUGAUUCGGCUGCUGCACGUUGGUAUCAUCAUUUCACAUUGAUGAUUUUCCAGCUUUUCGAGAUUCAUAUGGUUCUUUUGCUGGUCGGGUUCCGAUGCCGACGACCUGAGGAUAGUUAUGUGUAGCUAUGUCUAUGAGAUACUUUCUUGAGUAACUGUCUGCACAAAUAGUUGAUCUACGUGUGGUGAAUGUGGGAAGUAGAUCUUCGUCAUCACCUCCAUUUUUAAAGGACAGUUUCCUAGUCAUUGGAGACGGCAAGCGCUCCUGCCAUAGUUUGGCAACGUGACCCCAAUUUGGAUAAAAUUGUAUGCUUCUAAUAGUAAUUUUUGGCGUUAAAAAUACACCAUCUUUUGGUAAAGAUUUUGAUUGCACCAGUGAUUUUUUAUUUUUUCUCAUCACCUCAUUCAAUUGAUCCAUAUAUCUAUCUAUCUAUGUUAUAACAAAGACGAUCAAAACCCUCCUUCAUAAGUUGAUGAGUCUCCACCAUAAGUUGGCGAUCCUCCUCCAUCAUCGAACGGAAUGACGUGACUAUGGUAGUUACAUCAACAAUUGGCGGCAAAGGCUCCAUCAUGUCAUUGUUCAUGAUAAUACUUUUCGUUGUCUGGCCAAGUUCAAACUUGGCCAAAUGCUCCCUCACAAACUCAGGUGAGAGAUCACUUUUUUGCUUCCUCUCCUGCGGAGCCAUCAAAUCAAACACAAAGGGUCCCACCAAACGUGUCAAUUUGUUUUCCGGUGAGAAAACCUACGUUGACUCGAAUUGAAUGCGAUUGACUUCUAUGAACAAGGAUUGAUUUCUGGCAGUACAAACUAAAUUAAAUUACCCCUACUCCUAUGAAGAUUCUGCGAGAGCUCCAAAAUCUAAAGUUAUAGUUAAAGUUGUUGAGAAUGAAAGAUAACUUGACAAGUGGUGUUAGAGUUGUGGGUUUUGUGAACCUGUGCUUUUGUCGAUGUAGUCAUCAAUGGUAACUUGCUUGAAGAAAACUGCUCCCUCCUUUUUAGCAACGUGGGCAACAUGGUGAUAUUGCCAUGUAGGUUGAGAUGAUGACUGUGAUGAUCGGGUAACUUCGACGCGUGCUAGUAAUUUGGGAUGACAUUUUAAAUAAUACACUUAAUUUGGCUUUAAUAAAAUGGUUUAAAUUUUUUGAAUUAAUCAUGUGGUAUUAAAACUAAUUUUUGGUGUGAACACUAAAAUUCUCACGAAAUAGAUUUUCGCUCUUUUCCUUGUAUUCUUUUCAGUAAAAUUUCCUCCUACAAAGACUAGUUGUGCUAUCAUCGAUCGAAACUCACAAACCAGUAAAACAUGACACUAGGCAGCAUGUGAAAAAGAAUGAAUAUGAUGCUCUAGUGAGAAAUAAUGCAUGGUUACCAGUGCAUUAUCCUACUAAUGUCAAUGUGGUUGGAUCCAGUUUCCAGGACAAAGCGGCACUCCGAUGGUUCUUUGAUGGGUUGUGACGAAGUUCUUCAGAUCUCCGCAUUAUAUGCUUCGAGAAUCGAGAGUGUCAGGCGAGAGAAUUCAAAGCAGCAGCAUCAAUUUGAGGAUAUGCCUGGUUUGGUUUUGGGCUAUAAUUUAACAUUGAACCUCUAUCCUGAACAGUUGGACACACUACUCAGAAACAAACAAAACCCAAAUCUGGGAAAUUUUUCCCCACAAACAGUAAAUCACAUUGCAUAAUCCCCCCACUUUCUUUCUUAAGCUUUAGAUGUAAAGUUGAAGUUGGCACAACUAGUUUGCCUGAACAGCAACGAAGAGCUGAACCCAAAUCUUGACUUAGCAACAUCAAACUGCAACAGGUUAUCCUCCAACUGAUGCCCU
RNAcentral lists this long non-coding RNA (3860 nucleotides) under Linum usitatissimum (flax). RNAcentral's name for it is "long non-coding RNA (LUSI_LNC003489)". Lineage: Eukaryota; Viridiplantae; Streptophyta; Magnoliopsida; Malpighiales; Linaceae. The record is from RNAcentral.